AGAUGGAGACAAAGGUAUAAAUGAAAAAAUAAUUUACAGCAUCAAGCUAGUGAACCCCCCAGCCUAUAACAACAGCUUUUCAAUCAAUGACACUGGAGUGUUGGAAGUCAAGACCUCAAUUGACAGAGAAAUAUGUCCAAACCUUGUGGUGGGCAUUCAGGCAGCUCAGAAAGACAAGACUUUCAAAACAGCUGAUGCAGUAGUUCUGGUUACUAUUGGAGAUGAAAAUGACAAUUAUCCAGUACUGUCACAAGCAAGUUAUGAUGUCUUACUUCCAGAAAAUUUCCCAAAUGGGUUGGAAGUUCUUCAAAUAACAGCUACUGAUGAAGAUGAGGUAAAAAGAUGAUGGUUUUGUGGCUGCUACAAGUACUGCACUUCUGAAAUAUAAUGUAAAAUGCAUUUGUGUUA
RNAcentral lists this long non-coding RNA (408 nucleotides) under Lonchura striata (white-rumped munia). RNAcentral's name for it is "domestica (Bengalese finch) lncRNA (ENSLSDG00000008699.1)". Lineage: Eukaryota; Metazoa; Chordata; Aves; Passeriformes; Estrildidae. The record is from RNAcentral.